RNAcentral lists this ribosomal RNA (301 nucleotides) under uncultured bacterium. RNAcentral's name for it is "partial 16S ribosomal RNA". It matches the Rfam family "Bacterial small subunit ribosomal RNA", at positions 509 to 807 of the family's 1533-position model. The record is from RNAcentral.
CAGCAGCCGCGGUAAUACGUAGGUGGCAAGCGUUGUCCGGAAUUAUUGGGCGUAAAGGGCUCGCAGGCGGUUUCUUAAGUCUGAUGUGAAAGCCCCCGGCUCAACCGGGGAGGGUCAUUGGAAACUGGGAAACUUGAGUGCAGAAGAGGAGAGUGGAAUUCCACGUGUAGCGGUGAAAUGCGUAGAGAUGUGGAAGAACACCAGUGGCGAAGGCGACUCUCUGGUCUGUAACUGACACUGAGGAGCGAAAGCGUGGGGAGCGAACAGGAUUAGAUACCCCAGUAGUCCCUGUCUCUUAUAC